RNAcentral lists this ribosomal RNA (253 nucleotides) under uncultured bacterium. RNAcentral's name for it is "partial 16S ribosomal RNA". It matches the Rfam family "Bacterial small subunit ribosomal RNA", at positions 524 to 776 of the family's 1533-position model. The record is from RNAcentral.
UACGUAGGGGGCAAGCGUUGUCCGGAAUCAUUGGGCGUAAAGCGCGUGUAGGCGGUUCAGUAAGUCUGCUGUGAAAGUCCAGGGCUCAACCCUGGGAUGCCGGUGGAUACUGCUGGGCUAGAGUACGGAAGAGGCGAGUGGAAUUCCCGGUGUAGCGGUGAAAUGCGCAGAUAUCGGGAGGAACACCUAUUGCGAAGGCAGCUCGCUGGGACGUUACUGACGCUGAGGUGCGAAAGCGUGGGGAGCAAACAGG